GCCUGUGACAGCAACUCACAAAAUGCACUUGUUCUUCUUAGAAUCCUCACAUGCCACUCCUAUUGCCUUCAGGCUGGCAUUCGACAUCACAUCCCAGACAAGCCCAGUGGUGUCUGCAGAGAACUUGGUCAUCUUGGAAUUUCACAAUAUGGUGCUGGCCCACUAAAUGAUGAAUCAUACUAUUAGGUCUCAGUGAGCAGUAAGUGGUGGUACUCUAGAUGUCCCAGCAAGACACACAUGUCAGAAAAGGGAUCUAACUCUAUGAAGAUUCAGAAGCUUGCACUAUUACUAAUGGAGCCACUACCAUUGCUGAGUGUCCAACUUUCCAGCAGCUGAGACCAAU
Molecule: long non-coding RNA, 343 nt
Filed under: Homo sapiens (human)
Lineage: Eukaryota; Metazoa; Chordata; Mammalia; Primates; Hominidae
Description: HSALNT0306094
Source: RNAcentral